This 450-nucleotide ribosomal RNA is filed under the name uncultured bacterium. RNAcentral describes it as "bacterial SSU rRNA". It matches the Rfam family "Bacterial small subunit ribosomal RNA", at positions 328 to 792 of the family's 1533-position model. The record is from RNAcentral.
UUGCCAGACUCCUACGGGAGGCAGCAGUGGGGAAUAUUGGGCAAUGGAGGCAACUCUUACCCAGCAAUGCCGCUUGAAUGAAGAAGGUCUUCGGAUUGUAAAUUUCUUUAAUUGGGGACGAAAAAAAUGACGGUACCCAAGGAAUAAGCCCCGGCUAACUACGUGCCAGCAGCCGCGGUAAUACGUAGGGGGCAAGCGUUAUCCGGAUUUACUGGGUGUAAAGGGAGCGUAGACGGCAGUGCAAGUCUGGAGUGAAAGGCGGGGGCUCAGCCCCCGGACUGCUCUGGAAACUGUACGGCUGGAGUGCAGGAGAGGUAAGUGGAAUUCCUAGUGUAGCGGUGAAAUGCGUAGAUAUUAGGAGGAACACCAGUGGCGAAGGCGGCUUACUGGACUGUAACUGACGUUGAGGCUCGAAAGCGUGGGGAGCAAACAGGAUUAGAUACCCCUGUA